RNAcentral lists this ribosomal RNA (319 nucleotides) under uncultured eukaryote. Its description in RNAcentral is "partial 18S ribosomal RNA". It matches the Rfam family "Eukaryotic small subunit ribosomal RNA", at positions 1470 to 1796 of the family's 1831-position model. The record is from RNAcentral.
CCCUUAGAUGUUCUGGGCGGCCCGCGCACUACACUGGCACUCUCAAUCAGAGCCUGGAUCUAACACUUUGGGGUAUUCUAUGAAGUGGUGUCGUGACUGGGAUUAACCCUUGCAAUUAUUGGUUACGAACGAGGAAUUCCUUGUAAUCGCGGUUUAUCAGCCCGCGUUGAAUGCGUCCCUGCCCUUUGUACACACCGCCCGUCGCUCCUACCGAUUGAGCGAUCCGGUAAAUGUUUUGGAUUGGUGCCGGGGCGGCUAGCUGCCGGUCGCUACGAAAUUUUGUGAACCUUAUCGCUUAGAGGAAGGAAAAGUCGUAACA